UACCAGCUCUUCGAGUGGUGUGGAUGUUUAUUGGGCCUAAAGCAUCCGUAGCUGGCUGGGCAAGUCCCCUGUUAAAUCCACCGAUUUAAUCGUUGGUGUGCGGGGGAUACUGUUCGGCUAGGGGACGGGAGAGGCCGACGGUAUUUUCGGGGUAGGGGUGAAAUCCUAUAAUCCCGGGAAGACCACCAGUGGCGAAGGCUGUCGGCUAGAACGCGCCCGACGGUGAGGGAUGAAAGCUAGGGGAGCGAACCGGAUUAGAUACCCGGGUAGUCCCAGCUGUAAACGAUGCAGGCUAGGUGUUUGGGCGGCCACGUGCCGCUCUAGUGCCGCAGAGAAGUCGUUAAGCCUGCCGCCUGGGGAGUACGGCCGCAAGGCUGAAACUUAAAGGAAUUGGCGGGGAGCACCACAAGGGGUGAAGCUUGCGGUUU
Molecule: ribosomal RNA, 428 nt
Filed under: uncultured archaeon
Lineage: Archaea
Description: bacterial SSU rRNA
Rfam family: Archaeal small subunit ribosomal RNA
Source: RNAcentral